CUCCGUUGGUGAACCAGCGGAGGGAUCAUU
Molecule: ribosomal RNA, 30 nt
Filed under: Diplodina microsperma
Lineage: Eukaryota; Fungi; Ascomycota; Sordariomycetes; Diaporthales; Gnomoniaceae
Description: partial 18S ribosomal RNA
Source: RNAcentral